This 191-nucleotide unclassified non-coding RNA is filed under the name uncultured fungus. RNAcentral's name for it is "sequence contains ITS1, 5.8S rRNA gene". RNAcentral also lists the same sequence under 1 other name. The record is from RNAcentral. Lineage: Eukaryota; Fungi.
ACGAGUUAGGGUCUUCCAGGCCCGACCUCCCAACCCUAUGUUUAUUGAACCUCUGUUGCUUCGGCGGGCCCGUCUCACGACCGCCGGAGGACCGCUGCGAGGCGUCCUCUGGCCCGUGUCCGCCGAUAGCCAACCACUAAACUCUGAAUAAAUCGUGUCAUUAUGUCUAAGUCUAUGAUCAAAUUAAAGCA